AACGUAGGGGACAAGCGUUAUCCGGAUUUAUUGGGCGUAAAGCGCACGUAGGCGGCAAGGUAAGUUGGACGUGAAAGCUCCCGGCUUAACUGGGAGAGUGCGUGCAAAACUGCCUGGCUCGAGGCUGGAAGAGGAGCGUGGAAUUCCCGGUGUAGUGGUGGAAUGCGUAGAUAUCGGGAGGAACACCAGUGGCGAAAGCGACGCUCUGGUCCAGAACUGACGUUGAGGUGCGAAAGCGUGGGGAGCGAACGGGAUUAGAUACCCCCGUAGUCC
This 273-nucleotide ribosomal RNA is filed under the name uncultured bacterium. RNAcentral's name for it is "partial 16S ribosomal RNA". It matches the Rfam family "Bacterial small subunit ribosomal RNA", at positions 524 to 796 of the family's 1533-position model. The record is from RNAcentral.